RNAcentral lists this signal recognition particle RNA (99 nucleotides) under Parvularculaceae bacterium. Its description in RNAcentral is "signal recognition particle sRNA small type". It matches the Rfam family "Bacterial small signal recognition particle RNA". From Rfam's summary of the family: The signal recognition particle (SRP) is a universally conserved ribonucleoprotein involved in the co-translational targeting of proteins to membranes. The record is from RNAcentral. Lineage: Bacteria; Pseudomonadati; Pseudomonadota; Alphaproteobacteria; Parvularculales; Parvularculaceae.
CACGGAAGGCUGGCGGACGGGCCCCUCGCCAACCCGGUCAGGUCCGGAAGGAAGCAGCCGUAACGAGUUUCGGUUCGGGUCGUUCAGCCUUCCACUUUU